AGCGGGAAUAGCUCAGUUGGUAGAGCACGACCUUGCCAAGGUCGGGGUCGCGAGUUCGAGUCUCGUUCCCGCUCCAA
Molecule: transfer RNA, 77 nt
Filed under: Escherichia coli 101-1
Lineage: Bacteria; Pseudomonadati; Pseudomonadota; Gammaproteobacteria; Enterobacterales; Enterobacteriaceae
Description: tRNA-Gly
Rfam family: tRNA
About the family: Transfer RNA (tRNA) molecules are approximately 80 nucleotides in length.
Source: RNAcentral